RNAcentral lists this ribosomal RNA (403 nucleotides) under Verrucomicrobiota bacterium. RNAcentral's name for it is "Verrucomicrobia bacterium partial 16S ribosomal RNA". It matches the Rfam family "Bacterial small subunit ribosomal RNA", at positions 355 to 776 of the family's 1533-position model. The record is from RNAcentral. Lineage: Bacteria; Pseudomonadati; Verrucomicrobiota.
UGGGGAAUAUUGCACAAUGGGCGCAAGCCUGAUGCAGCAACGCCGCGUGAACGAUGAAGGUCUUCGGAUCGUAAAGUUCUGUUGCAGGGGAAGAUAAUGACGGUACCCUGUGAGGAAGCCCCGGCUAACUACGUGCCAGCAGCCGCGGUAAUACGUAGGGGGCUAGCGUUAUCCGGAUUUACUGGGCGUAAAGGGUGCGUAGGUGGUCUUUCAAGUCGGUGGUUAAAGGCUACGGCUCAACCGUAGUUAGCCUCCGAAACUGGAAGACUUGAGUGCAGGAGAGGAAAGUGGAAGUCAAAGUGUAGCGGUGAAAUGCGUAGAUAUUGGGAGGAACACCAGUAGCGAAGGCGGCUUUCUGGAAUGCAACUGACAAUGAGGCACGAAAGCGUGGGUAGCAAACAGG